RNAcentral lists this long non-coding RNA (407 nucleotides) under Homo sapiens (human). RNAcentral's name for it is "HSALNT0408217". The record is from RNAcentral. Lineage: Eukaryota; Metazoa; Chordata; Mammalia; Primates; Hominidae.
UUUGACAAUGAGAAGUUUCUGGUAAUGCAUAGUAGUAUGUUUUAAGAUAAUAUUUAGCUAGUGGCACAUUGCACCUCCUGUUAUAAUUAAGGUAUUUUUUGUGUUAAAUACAUAAUUUUAAAAUGUUUGCUAUGAUAAAUAUAAUGUUCUGUUACAGGUUUUCUAUGGUAAGUCUUCAGCAUUGACUACAUUGAGAAUUCUUGGAAAAUAUGUUUCAAAUUUAAAAAACUUAAUGUACUCAAAGUUCUUGCGUAACACUCCUUUUACUUAUAUUGUAGCUACUUAGUGUGGGUCUUUUACUUGCUUUCAAUUUAUUUAUUUAUUUAACAAAUAUUCACUAUGGGCCAAGCACUAUAAUAGUAAACAAGUGAUAGUGAUGAACAAAACAAACACAUUCCCUGUUUUCC